This 258-nucleotide ribosomal RNA is filed under the name uncultured bacterium. RNAcentral's name for it is "partial 16S ribosomal RNA". It matches the Rfam family "Bacterial small subunit ribosomal RNA", at positions 526 to 779 of the family's 1533-position model. The record is from RNAcentral.
CGUAGGGCGCAAGCGUUGUCCGGAAUUAUUGGGCGUAAAAGAGCUUGUAGGUGGCUUUGUCGCGUCUGCCGUAGAAAACCCCGAGGCUCAACCUCGGGCGUGCGGUGGGUACGGGCAGGCUAGAGUGUGGUAGGGAGACUGGAACGUCCGUGGUGUAGCGGUGAAAUGCGCAGAUAUCAGGAGACACCGAUGGCGAAGGCAGGUCUCUGGGCCAUUACUGACACUGAGAAGCGAAAGCAUGGGGAGCGGAACAGGAUU